RNAcentral lists this ribosomal RNA (753 nucleotides) under uncultured Vagococcus sp. RNAcentral's name for it is "bacterial SSU rRNA". It matches the Rfam family "Bacterial small subunit ribosomal RNA", at positions 758 to 1515 of the family's 1533-position model. The record is from RNAcentral. Lineage: Bacteria; Bacillati; Bacillota; Bacilli; Lactobacillales; Enterococcaceae.
GGUGGGGGAGCAAACAGGAUUAGAUACCUGGUAGUCCACGCUGUAAACGAUGAGUGCUAAGUGUUAGGGGGUUCCGCCCUUUAGUGCUGCAGCUAACGCAUUAAGCACUCCGCUGGGGAGUACGACCGCAAGGUUGAAACUCAAAGGAAUUGACGGGGGCCCGCACAAGCGGUGGAGCAUGUGGUUUAAUUCGAAGCAACGCGAAGAACCUUACCAGGUCUUGACAUCCUUUGACCACUUUAGAGAUAAAGCUUUCCCUUCGGGGACAAAGUGACAGGUGGUGCAUGGUUGUCGUCAGCUCGUGUCGUGAGAUGUUGGGUUAAGUCCCGCAACGAGCGCAACCCUUAUUGUUAGUUGCCAUCAUUCAGUUGGGCACUCUAGCGAAACUGCCGGUGACAAACCGGAGGAAGGUGGGGAUGACGUCAAAUCAUCAUGCCCCUUAUGACCUGGGCUACACACGUGCUACAAUGGACAGUACAAUGAGCAGCGACACGGUGACGUGAAGCGAAUCUCAUAAAGCUGUUCUCAGUUCGGAUUGUAGGCUGCAACUCGCCUACAUGAAGCCGGAAUCGCUAGUAAUCGCGGAUCAGCACGCCGCGGUGAAUACGUUCCCGGGCCUUGUACACACCGCCCGUCACACCACGAAAGUUUGUAACACCCAAAGUCGGUGAGGUAACCUUCGGGAGCCAGCCGCCUAAGGUGGGAUAGAUGAUUGGGGUGAAGUCGUAACAAGGUAACCAAGGGCGAAUUCUG